GAACGAACGCUGGCGGCGCGUUUAAGCGUGCAAGUCGAGCGGCAGGGGGCUCGGUCCCCCGAGAGCGGCGGACGGGUGAGUAACACGUGGGCAACCUGCCCUAUAGAGGGGAAUAGCCUUCCGAAAGGAAGAUUAAUACCGCAUAACAUUACAUUUUCGCAUGAAGAAGUAAUUAAAGGAGCAAUCCGCUAUAAGAUGGGCCCGCGGCGCAUUAGCUAGUUGGUGAGGUAACGGCUCACCAAGGCGACGAUGCGUAGCCGACCUGAGAGGGUGAUCGGCCACAUUGGGACUGAGACACGGCCCAGACUCCUACGGGAGGCAGCAGGUGGGGAAUAUUGCACAAGUGGGGGAAACCCUGAUGCAGACCAACGCCGCGUGAGUGAUGAAGGUCUUCGGAUCGUAAAGCUCUGUCUUCAGGGACGAUAAUGACGGUACCUGAGGAGGAAGCCACGGCUAACUACGUGCCAGCAGCUGC
RNAcentral lists this ribosomal RNA (475 nucleotides) under uncultured bacterium. RNAcentral describes it as "bacterial SSU rRNA". It matches the Rfam family "Bacterial small subunit ribosomal RNA", at positions 27 to 518 of the family's 1533-position model. The record is from RNAcentral.